UACAGAGGUCCCAAGCGUUGUUCGGAUUCACUGGGCGUAAAGGGUGCGUAGGUGGUGAGGUAAGUCGGAUGUGAAAGCUCCGAGCUCAACUCGGAAAUGGCAUUGGAAACUACCUUGCUCGAGGGUUUGAGGGGGGACUGGAAUACUUGGUGUAGCAGUGAAAUGCGUAGAUAUCAAGUAGAACACCAGUGGCGAAGGCGACACGCUGGGCCGUACCUGACACUGAUGCGCGACAGCAUGGGGAGCAAACAGG
This 253-nucleotide ribosomal RNA is filed under the name uncultured bacterium. Its description in RNAcentral is "partial 16S ribosomal RNA". It matches the Rfam family "Bacterial small subunit ribosomal RNA", at positions 524 to 776 of the family's 1533-position model. The record is from RNAcentral.